CAGUAGCCGCGGUAAUACGAAGGGUGCAAGCGUUACUCGGAAUUACUGGGCGUAAAGCGUGCGUAGGUGGUGGUUUAAGUCCGUUGUGAAAGCCCUGGGCUCAACCUGGGAAUUGCAGUGGAUACUGGGUCACUAGAGUGUGGUAGAGGAUAGUGGAAUUUCCGGUGUAGCAGUGAAAUGCGUAGAGAUCGGAAGGAAUAUCUGUGGCGAAGGCGACUAUCUGGGCCAACACUGACACUGAGGCACGAAAGCGUGGGGAGCAAACAGGAUUAGAGACCCGCGUAGUCCCUGUCUCUUAUAC
RNAcentral lists this ribosomal RNA (301 nucleotides) under uncultured bacterium. RNAcentral's name for it is "partial 16S ribosomal RNA". It matches the Rfam family "Bacterial small subunit ribosomal RNA", at positions 509 to 807 of the family's 1533-position model. The record is from RNAcentral.